UCCUCUUUCUCAUCUCUGUCUCCCCCCUCUCUGUUUCCUCUCUCCCUGCCCCUCCCUCCUCCCCCCCGUAGUGGAAAUUCACAGAGUGCUGAUUGUGACGGGAGAUCGUGCUGGCUCGGCUGUGGGCUUCGGGGGCCUAUGAUGUCAGUGCCAUGUUUUCCUUGGAGAGAGUCUCUCUCUCUUUCUCUUCGGCUGCAUUGUUCCUGGAAACUGUGGUCUGCUCUCUCCAGGCAACCGAAGGAAGCCUGCCGCCCCAGCCCCCAACCCCCACGGGCUCGGCCAAUCAGAGGGAAGCGCUCUGGUGACGCAUCGUACCCUCAGGAACUGUCUCUCGAGGAAGGAGGUGAGCUGUUGUCUGGCUCCUGUCCCCUGAGGCGAAGUGCGGUCUCAACAGAGUCCUCUCCUUUUCAGAGGUGCCAACAAGGGAAAGAGAUGAAAAUGAUUUUGGUCCCUGUUUGUAGAGCAGUUAUUAUAGGGAUGUUCUUUAAACAGGACCAUACACGCAUAGCACCAACACUGCGUUUCUGAGUAGCCUACUAAACAGGGAGGCUAUGAACGCUAAUCACUGGAUAAAGUAAAUUGUGGACAAGGGUCAGUCCUGCAGAGUGUAAGGGCAGUUUAUAUUGCAGGAUAUUCACUGCUCAUAAGCAAAGUGUCAGUACUACAGAGGACUAGUAACUAGUGAAAAAGGACUCUCUGUACCGGGGUUUUAAACCCUUGCCCUCAGCAUCCCCAUGAAUGCAGGUUUUCAGCCUAAACUUAAUUACAAUUCCUGAACCCUAAAGAGCUGCUAAUUGUUUUUGCUUAGAUGUCUAAUGAGGGAUGCUUUACCCACUUAAUCCCAUAUUAUGUGAGAAACAGAUAGUAAAGAAUGAAUAUUGUCUGUUAAUUUAAGGACUUUUAAUUUUUAAAAAAUGAGUCCUUAGAGAACUACGCUUUCAUUUUUGCUGUGAGCUGUGACCAAUUAUUCCCUUUGAAAGGGUGCGUUUUGUACUGAUUAAAUGAAGAAAUCAGUAAGGCUUGUGAAAUGCUGAAGGGGUAGACACCUGGUCAUUAAAACUAAACCACUUGUGAGACAUGCAGAGUUGGAAGAGAAAACAAAUGAAACAAGUCUGUUUCAGCAGAGAAGUGUGAAACUCAAACACAUGUUUUCAAUACCCUUAAUUAACCAAUUAAGGGCGUUGAAGCCAAUCUCUGGUUUCCAGCCAUGGGCAGUAAUGAAAGUCAGCAUUUUUGUUCAGAGAACAAGGGAGAGAAAUGUGGACGUGUUGCAGUUUAUCUUGCACUAACAGACACAGAAUGUUUGGAAGUGAUAGGGGGGGAAAAAAAUGAAUGAAAGCCAAGGAGAAUGCUGGGAAAUGAUGUACUUGGACCGGAUAUCCUGCAUGUUUGCGGAGCAGAAUUCAACAAGAUGGACAGAACAAGGGCCUCCGAGUCCAGCUCCCUGGGUAGUGUCUACAGAGCAAACGACAGUGGCUCCGGGGGAAACGCCGGGCACACGGUGGGCCCGACGAGAACCAGCGGAGCAGCGAGAUUGGGCCACUACCUUUUCCCCAGGCCGGCUCUUCAAAUGAGACCCCAGGCCUGAGACCUGAGCAUGUCUGGCCCAGGAGUUUGACCUGAUCUAUGAUGAUGCCGAACUCCACAGUGAACCAGUACACCUGCAGGCCCGGGGGAAAGGAAACGCAUCAUCAGGAGGGGACGGAGGAUGACUUUACACCACUGAAGUCAGGAUGGCGGUACUCACGGCUCAGGGGUGUACAUGGGCCUGGACCCGUGGCGGAUGUACUGCGUGGAGUGGAAGACGCGGAACGCCAGCCCCGCCAGGAAGUCCCGGGAGGAGAGCAGCCCGGCCACGGGACGCAGCCGAAACCCCGUACAGGCUGAGGGAGAGAGAGAGGGGCGAGCGAGGAGAGAGAGGGGCAAGCAAGCAAGCCAGCGAGGGAGAGAGAAAGUGUAUAUUCCUGUCAAACUGCACACAUGCCUUCAACAGCCAGUAGUUCAUUUGGUUUCCAGGGAUGGUCUGAGUCCAGCUCGGACCCAUAGCUCAGGAUCUGGUUGGCAAAGCGGUCCAGCUCCUGAAUUUCCUUUGGAAACCAAGGGACUGUGGAGACAGAGAACAGAGGCACAGAUGACGUCAUUGGCAACCAAUCAGGACAUCACUGAGUACCUGCAGAAUGACAUCACAUCCGUAAAUACUGGAUUGGCGGUGGGGGAAGGGCAGUCUCUGCUGAUGGGGGAGAAGAUGCAGGACAGCACCCCCGCCUUGGUGGCUUGCUCCUCCAGAGCCCUGGAUGCUGAAGACCGAUUGGCUGAGAGGCAGUGCGCUGUCCAGCAGUGGCCUCCUAAAAGGAACCUGAUGCAGCGUGGCGACACUCUGAUCCCAUCGGAUCCCUAAAACUACAAACACGUGAAUUUAUCUCCCCCCCUCUCUCUCUCCCUCUCC
Anguilla anguilla (European eel) is the source of this 2446-nucleotide long non-coding RNA. RefSeq lists it as uncharacterized. Lineage: Eukaryota; Metazoa; Chordata; Actinopteri; Anguilliformes; Anguillidae. The transcript is spliced from 8 exons. The record is from RefSeq and is a predicted model, not a curated record.